GUACUGUUCACAUCAUAAACUAUAAAUAAAAUCCAAAAAGAUACGAGACUUAAAGUUAUAAAAUGAAAUCAUAGAAAUUCUAUAAGAAAACAAGUUAGUAGAUUUUAUAUUCUAGCAGUGAGAUAAGCUUACCUAAUAAUGACUGAAAAUUCAGUAGCAAAAAGGGACAAAUAACUGACAAAAUUUGCUACAUAAAUACAAAUGACUUUCCAUAUAGCAAAUAUUAAAAAAUAAAUGAUAAACUGGAAAAUAUUUGCAACAUAAAUUAUAAAGUGUUAAAUCUCAGGCCAGGGAUUUAGCUCAGUGGUUUCACUGCCUGCCUUGCAAGCGCAAGGACCCGAGUUCGAUCCCUGGUACCAAAAAGUGUUAAAUCUCUAAUAUAUGAAAAGUUCCUUAAAAUAAAAAAUAAAAAAAGCUGGGCGUGAUAGGACACAACUGUAGUCUCAGCAUUCUGGAGCCUGAGGCAGGAAGGUUGUGAGUUCAAGGCCAGCCCGGGCUACAUAGUCAGAUGCUGUCUCAAAACAAAGAAAUUAAGAGGAAAAAUCAAGUAUCACUCCACAGAAAAGAACAAGGAGAGCAGUCAGGAUGGCCGAGGGGUCUAAGGUGCUGCAUUCAGAAAAGGAGAAGGAAAAGGUAAGGCUAAUUUUUCUUUUAAAAAUGAAAAGAUACACAUAGGAAAGCAAAUACAAAAUUAUAACUACACCAAAAUACUAUUUCUUGUUGAUCAUAUCAACAAAAGUACAAUUACUUCACAGGAUGCUUUUUAGGAAAAGGAGUGUUCUCAUAUGUUUGUAUUCCUGGUAGGAAUGUAAAAUAGUAGGACCGCUGUGAAGAGGAAUUUGUUACAGUCUAGCAAAAGCACAUCAGCACUUAUCUUUUGACCAGCAAUCCCACUAUUAAGAAUUGAUCCUAAAGGUAAAAUAUAAUCUGACAUAUACUCAGGACUAUCCAUUCCAGCACCCCUUGUAAUAACGUGAGUAUCUAUCAAUAAGAGCCUGGCUGGAGUAGUAGAUAGCUGUGAAAAGGGAUACUCCAGUGUAGAGUAUUAGACAGCUGCAAAAAGGGAUUCUGAAGAAGUUCAAUUAUAUGUCUAUAGAAUGAUCUGUAUAAUAUAUUUAAUGAGUGGGGGGGAAGCAAGGUACAGAAGAAAGUGUGUAUUAGAUUUCCUUUAUCCUAAGAGAGGGAUGAGUUAUAAAUAAUAUGUAUUGAGCUAUAUUUUUUUAAUGAAAUGCUAAAUAAAGGCUAACAAAAAUCACUGCCCAUAUAAACUGAAGGGAACUGUAUGGAAAGGAUGGAGAUGGAAGGUAGAGUUCUCUAAAUAUAGCUUGUGCUAAAGGCCCCAGAAACCAAUCUGUGAAUACCAUGUGGGGACUUCCACUGGCCACAGAUGAAACAAUUUGAGCAUCAAGAAGAGUAAAGACUUUAACAUAGCAAAUACACUAAAACAUGAAUUCGUAAUAGUACAAAUUCAAGCACCUGAAACAUGCUAAAUACAUUAAAACUCAUAGAUUCAUAUAUUUUUUAAAUGUCUUGAUCAUCUUUAGAGAUUCCUCAGAUACCAAAUCUUUAAGUAGAAAUUUGAAACACAUCAUUAAAGCAAGCAUGAAAUAAAAACAGCUCUGAGCACAGAGAUGUUCAUCACUUGCUGGUAUUCUUUGGAUAAGUGUACCAAAAGGCCCAGGUGUCAGAGCUGUGUGUCCCCAGCCCAUGGUACUAUUGAGAGGUGAUGGAACCUUUAAGAGAUGGGGCCUAGUGGGAGAAAAUGAGGUCACUGGGGACUGUGCUCUUGAAGGGGAUGCUGGGAGCCUGGCCCCUCCUCCCUCUCACUCUUUAUUUACUUCAGGGUUACCAUGCGGUGAACAGGCCUCUUCUGCCAUGCAUUCCAGUCAUAAAGUAUUAUGCUGACAGCCCCAAAGCAACAGGACCACCUAACUGUGAACUGCAAUGUCUGAAAUCUUUGCAAUGAAUAUAUCUUCAUACAGAUUUACUUUCACUAAAAUAACUGGCCAUUUCUGUUUCCUGAUGGACUGACUGCCAUCCAUGCUUCUCAUCCCAGCCUUUAGUCACUGCAAAUAAUAUUCAACCAUCACAGAGGAGGGAAGAGUGACAGCACACACUCCUGAAUCAUUUAGGGACCACUAAUUUUCGGGGAAAAAAUGGUUUUUUGAAAGAAACAGAAAGCAUUUGAUGGGUCUGGAGAACAGCUGAGAAGAAGGACAAGCACAAAUAACUCUGCAUGGAUUCCAUGGACUAACAUGUUCUGGAAACUGCUAUAAGGAAUAAAUUCUUCUGCGUAGGGUUUGUUUGCAUGUUAGCAGCUACUAGAAUGAUAAUUUAUAUAAUAUGCUGGACAGAAUAACAACAAUGAUCAGCCACUUUGCUUUUAUUUCUUCAAAGAACAUUGAGGUCCUACUGUGUACACAUAAGACAAAGUCCCUGCUGUCAAAAAAAAUAUUUUUAAAUCCAACUCUAAUAAAAAUAAGAAUAAAAAAGUGAGAGAACUGGCUAGGAAGGACAUUUUCCAAUGUUUCCUUCCAUUAACGAGGCACGUGGUAUGAAAGCGUUCUUUGAAGACAGUUAUUCAAAUGUACUUGUGUUUUUAAUGUCAUUUUAAUGUGAACAUAAUUCCUUUCUUUGUUUUUUGGUACCGCGGAUCUAACUCGUGACCUUGCGCUUGCGAGGCAGGUGCGGUGCCACUGAGCUAAACCCUCGGCCCCAUAAUUCCUUCCUUUAUUCUUCAAACCUUUUUUGGUGAAAAAUUCUACACGUACAUAAAUGUACAUUUAAAAGAAUUAUUAUAAAUAUCUAUGUAAGCACCAUUGGGGAUUAAGGUCAGAAACUACAAUGUCAAAGGCACUCUUCCUUAUAACCCUACCUGCCAGACCUAACCACGAUCCUAAUUUUAUAGUAAUCCCUAUUUGACUUUUUUUUGUUUUUUGCCCCCAUAGUGUUCUCCACUAAAUGUGCAUCUAUAAACAUAAUACGGUUUGAUUUAGCUUGUUUUUAAUUUUUAUAUACAAAAGCAUAUCGUAUGCAUUUUUCUGGAUUUCUGUUAUUGUUCCAUAUUUCAUUUUUGAGAUGUCUCCAUGUUGUUCCAGGUAGCUGAAUUCCAUUCCUCUUCACUGCUAUGUAAUACAAAGUAUAUAAAUACUGUUUGAUGAUCAGUUUUCU
This 3171-nucleotide long non-coding RNA is filed under the name Heterocephalus glaber (naked mole-rat). RNAcentral's name for it is "lncRNA (ENSHGLG00100034528.1)". The record is from RNAcentral. Lineage: Eukaryota; Metazoa; Chordata; Mammalia; Rodentia; Bathyergidae.